Molecule: microRNA precursor, 197 nt
Filed under: Oryza rufipogon (brownbeard rice)
Lineage: Eukaryota; Viridiplantae; Streptophyta; Magnoliopsida; Poales; Poaceae
Description: MIR812 microRNA precursor family
Rfam family: MIR812 microRNA precursor family
Source: Rfam by way of RNAcentral
AAUAAGUGUUGUUUUGCACUAUUCACGUUUAACGUUUGACCGUUCGUCUUAUUUGAAAACUUUUUAUGAUUAGUAUUUUUAUUACUAUUAGAUGAUAAAACAUGAAUAGUACUUUAUGUGCGACUAAAUAUUUUUAAAUUUUUUAAAUAAGACGGACGGUCAAACAUUGGACACGGAUAUCUAUGACUGUACUUAUU